GACGUAGGGCGCGAGCGUUGUCCGGAUUUAUUGGGCGUAAAGAGCUCGUAGGCGGUUUGUCGCGUCGUUCGUGAAAACUCACAGCUCAACUGUGAGCUUGCGGUCGAUACGGGCAGGCUAGAGUUCGGUAGGGGAGACUGGAAUUCCUGGUGUAGCGGUGAAAUGCGCAGAUAUCAGGAGGAACACCGGUGGCGAAGGCGGGUCUCUGGGCCGUAACUGACGCUGAGGAGCGAAAGCGUGGGGAGCGAACAGG
RNAcentral lists this ribosomal RNA (253 nucleotides) under uncultured bacterium. RNAcentral's name for it is "partial 16S ribosomal RNA". It matches the Rfam family "Bacterial small subunit ribosomal RNA", at positions 524 to 776 of the family's 1533-position model. The record is from RNAcentral.